This 819-nucleotide ribosomal RNA is filed under the name uncultured eukaryote. Its description in RNAcentral is "SSU rRNA". It matches the Rfam family "Eukaryotic small subunit ribosomal RNA", at positions 629 to 1426 of the family's 1831-position model. The record is from RNAcentral.
CGGUGUUUAACUGGCGUGAUGUGGGACGUCCUACCGGUGGGCUUAGCCUCGCGAGGGGCGGCCCAACUAAUAUCCCGUCGCGGUGCUCUUUACUGAGUGUCGAGUCGGGCCGGUACGUUUACUUUGAACAAAUUAGAGUGCUUAAAGCAGGCUAUCCUCGCCUGAAUACUGCGUGCAUGGAAUAAUGGAAUAGGACCUCGGUUCUAUUUUGUUGGUUUUCGGAACCCCGAGGUAAUGAUUAAUAGGGACAGAUGGGGGCAUUCGUAUUGCGACGUUAGAGGUGAAAUUCUUGGAUCAUCGCAAGACGGACAGAAGCGAAAGCAUUUGCCAAAAAUGUUUUCAUUAAUCAAGAACGAAAGUUAGAGGUUCGAAGGCGAUCAGAUACCGCCCUAGUUCUAACCAUAAACGAUGCCAGCUAGCGAUCCGCCGAAGUUCCUCCGAUGACUCGGCGGGCAGCUUCCGGGAAACCAAAGCUUUUGGGUUCCGGGGGAAGUAUGGUUGCAAAGCUGAAACUUAAAGGAAUUGACGGAAGGGCACCACCAGGAGUGGAGCCUGCGGCUUAAUUUGACUCAACACGGGAAACCUCACCAGGCCCAGACACCGGAAGGAUUGACAGAUUGAUAGCUCUUUCUUGAUUCGGUGGGUGGUGGUGCAUGGCCGUUCUUAGUUGGUGGAGCGAUUUGUCUGGUUAAUUCCGAUAACGAACGAGACUCUAGCCUGCUAAAUAGGCGUACCUUAUGGUAUCGCGAAGGCCCCCGGCUUCGGCCGGUGGGUUUUUACUACCAACGUACAAACAAAUCUUCUUAGAGGGACAGGCGG